CCUACGGGAGGCAGCAGUAAGGAAUAUUGGUCAAUGGACGAAAGUCUGAACCAGCCAUGCCGCGUGAAGGAUUAAGGCCCUCUGGGUUGUAAACUUCUUUUAUCUGGGACGAAAAAAGGGUAUUCUUACUCACUUGACGGUACCAGAGGAAUAAGCACCGGCUAACUCCGUGCCAGCAGCCGCGGUAAUACGGAGGGUGCAAGCGUUAUCCGGAUUUACUGGGUUUAAAGGGUGCGUAGGUGGGCUUGUAAGUCAGUGGUGAAAUCUCCGGGCUUAACCCGGAAACUGCCAUUGAUACUAUAGGUCUUGAAUUAUCUGGAGGUAAGCGGAAUAUGUCAUGUAGCGGUGAGAUGCUUAGAUAUGACAUAGAACACCAAUUGCGAAGGCAGCUUACUACGGAUAUAUUGACACUGAGGCACGAAAGCGUGGGGAUCAAACAGGAUUAGAUACCCUGGUAGUCCACGCCCUAAACGAUGGAUACUCGACAUCAGCGAUACACUGUUGGUGUCUGNGNGAAGANAUAGUAUACCACCNCGGAGAGANCGCAGAGUAGAACGUACGAAAGAAGUAGACGGCGNGAGAGAGACGACGGACGACGACGAGGGAGGAGG
RNAcentral lists this ribosomal RNA (611 nucleotides) under uncultured bacterium. RNAcentral describes it as "bacterial SSU rRNA". The stretch from base 1 to 533 matches the Rfam family "Bacterial small subunit ribosomal RNA", at positions 338 to 873 of the family's 1533-position model. The record is from RNAcentral.